Molecule: regulatory RNA element, 76 nt
Organism: Kocuria rhizophila DC2201
Lineage: Bacteria; Bacillati; Actinomycetota; Actinomycetes; Micrococcales; Micrococcaceae
Rfam family: 6C RNA
Source: Rfam
CGGCGUCCCGAUCUCCCCCAGAUUCGGGAUGUCCGACGGGUCCUGCCGAUCCCCCAAGUGGCAGGACCCGUCCCCU